GCCGUCUGAAAGUCGCCCGCGGCCUGACCCGUGGCCGCGAGUGAGACCCCGGCGCCCACAGACACAGGGGCCUAAAGCUUGUCGCCCACCGCCCUGUCGUGUCGGCGACAAAACCCGGGCCCCGACAGGC
This is a non-coding RNA of Ornithorhynchus anatinus (platypus), 130 nucleotides long. The record is from Rfam. NCBI's taxonomy places the organism in Eukaryota, Metazoa, Chordata, Mammalia, Monotremata, Ornithorhynchidae.